Molecule: transfer RNA, 71 nt
Filed under: Synechococcus sp. MI0607A
Lineage: Bacteria; Bacillati; Cyanobacteriota; Cyanophyceae; Synechococcales; Synechococcaceae
Description: tRNA-Ile
Rfam family: tRNA
About the family: Transfer RNA (tRNA) molecules are approximately 80 nucleotides in length.
Source: RNAcentral
GGGCCAUUAGCUCAGUGGUUAGAGCGCACCCCUGAUAAGGUGAGGUCCUGGUUCAAGUCCAGGAUGGCCCA